RNAcentral lists this ribosomal RNA (383 nucleotides) under uncultured bacterium. RNAcentral describes it as "bacterial SSU rRNA". It matches the Rfam family "Bacterial small subunit ribosomal RNA", at positions 28 to 419 of the family's 1533-position model. The record is from RNAcentral.
GACGAACGCUGGCGGCGUGCCUAACACAUGCAAGUCGAGCGAGGUAUUUAUACCUAGCGGCGGACGGGUGAGUAACACGUGGGUAACCUGCCUCAUAGAGGGGAAUAGCCUUCCGAAAGGGAGAUUAAUACCGCAUAAUAUAUACCGGUAGCAUUUAAUGGUAUAUCAAAGGAGAAAUCCGCUAUGAGAUGGGCCCGCGGCGCAUUAGCUAGUUGGAGAGGUAACGGCUCACCAAGGCGACGAUGCGUAGCCGACCUGAGAGGGUGAUCGGCCACAUUGGAACUGAGACACGGUCCAGACUCCUACGGGAGGCAGCAGUGGGGAAUAUUGCACAAUGGGGGAAACCCUGAUGCAGCAACGCCGCGUGAAUGAUGACGGCCUGG